UGGGGAAUUUUCCGCAAUGGGCGAAAGCCUGACGGAGCAACGCCGCGUGCGGGAGGACGGCCUGUGGGUUGUAAACCGCUUUUCUCAGGGAAGAACACAAUGACGGUACCUGAGGAAUCAGCAUCGGCUAACUCCGUGCCAGCAGCCGCGGUAAUACGGAGGAUGCAAGCGUUAUCCGGAAUUAUUGGGCGUAAAGCGUCCGUAGGCGGCCGAGCAAGUCUGCUGUAAAAGGUCGGGGCUUAACCCCGAAUGUGCAGUGGAAACUGUUUGGCUAGAGAGCGGUAGGGGUUGAGGGAAUUCCCAGUGUAGCGGUGAAAUGCGUAGAUAUUGGGAAGAACACCAGUGGCGAAGGCGCUCAACUGGGCCGCAACUGACGCUGAUGGACGAAAGCUAGGGGAGCGAAAGGGAUUAGAUACCCCCGUAGUCC
RNAcentral lists this ribosomal RNA (427 nucleotides) under uncultured prokaryote. RNAcentral describes it as "bacterial SSU rRNA". It matches the Rfam family "Bacterial small subunit ribosomal RNA", at positions 355 to 796 of the family's 1533-position model. The record is from RNAcentral.